CGGUGGAGCAACGGACUCCAGCGCAGAGUGCGAGCUGGGCUGGGACGUGAUGAGCCCAGUGGAGGGAAGAGAUGGGGAUAGGAGGCUUCUCCUUUUCUGCCUGGGACGAGGCUGGUGUGGACCCUGCUCUGAAGGAGGAAUUUCAGUCCUGCUUGUGAACACCUAACAAACAUUUAUCCUUUGUUGUGGGACAGUUACAUUGUGGGACAGGGUGGGAGUUUAGUGAGCAUAGAACAUUGUGUUUUAUAUGGGUUUUUUUUUUAUAUUGGGUUUGUUUAUUCCUGGGGAUUUUGACAACAUUUUAUUGCUUGUUUUUAGAAUUGUUUGUCAUUCUUACUCCCUGGUUUGGACAUAAUCUGUUUCUGAUCAGAACUACAUCAUCUUUGUGCCCUGGGUUUCUGACUGGCGCACUCUCCCCUUGUAUCGAAAGAAUGGCAUCACGUUUGACUGGUGCCACUCGCCAAAAUAAUUUGUGUCAAAAGCUGAUUGUCAAUGAAGGAAAAAAUAAGUAGCUGUAGUUAAAUGUAAGUCAAAAGAAGCUAAAUUGAAAACACUUAAAAACAGUUGUGUGCCUAAUUACUCUGGCUGUGUUAUCUGUCAUGUUUAAGCAUGCAUAUAUUUAAUAUCAACUGCUUAUAGCUUUACAUCCAGUUUUACACAGACAGUCAGAUAAUUUAGUUGUGGUGAAAAUACAAUAUUUAAAGGUAUAUGAUUUAUUCAUUGCAUUUUUUCUUCAAGGGCUUUAAUUACCUGAUGCAUGCUUAAACAUCAAGGUAAGUAAAUCCCAAAUGCACUGUUUGGGAAAACCUGCAGUCACUUGAGACUGAAGAAGUCACUUGGAUGAGUGACAAAACGCUUGUCCCACUAAAAAAACUACUCCCAGAUGAACACAAUCAACCGUUUGGGCUAUAGUUACAAAUUUGUACAUUAUUUUCUUCUUUUUCUAUGCUGAGUUUUCAGUUCUCUGUGUCAUAUCAAAGUGUUUUAGUAUUUGGUUUAAAUACCUUAUGAAAAGGAAAAAAGAUACGGUCUCUGACAUCUUCAGUAUUCUGAUUAUUUUUUAAAAACUAUAAACUACAUUCACUCCUACAGGACAAAGCCAAGUGCCCCAAAGAGAGAGUGGCUCUUUCUGCUGCCACACAUCGGUCUCGGGACAGGAAAAAGAAGGUUGGUGAAUCUCCAGCACAGACUAGGAAGAUGCAGCAGAAGCCAAAAAGCCCCACUACCAACAGAGUCUUGAAGCCAAGCCAAGGACAAACGGUUUGUGCCCCAGGACAGCUUAACCGUCAGGGGCAAGUCUGUACUGGUACACAUUGUAAAACACCUUUAUAACACAACCAUUUCCUGAAGUCAUUUUCUAGAUAAUCAUUCUUUCUCAGCGCAUUGCCCACCAAGCUUUAAACUGUUUCUUCUAUAAUUAAUUAUAAUUCUAACAUCAUUUGUCACAUAUUCACAUAAAAUGUCACAUAAAAGUAGCAAUUUUCAGGCACAACCUUGUUUCGACGUAUAAACAAGGAUCUCUGUUUUCACUCUGGCAUACUGUUGUAUUAAUGUAGCUUCACACGAUCACAGAUGCACAGCAGGCAUUCAGUGUGGACUUUGUUUCAGAAAUGACUGAAGAGAAAGAAAUUGAUGAGACCAAGAAACAAUAUAAGACAUUUUCAUAAAAUAGUAUUUCUGUAAUAUUGUGUGAAGUGAUGCGUUUACUGCAGCACCACGCUGAUUUCAUAUUUGUGCACUUGUAGCAUUCAGUGUUGAGUUUUUUCUCCCACAUUGCUGUGUGUGUCGUUUAAAGGAUGUUUGACUUAAUUUAAAAUGUCAGAUUGUUUUUUUCUUCAAUUUCCAGAAUAUAUUCUGAAAUUAUUUAAAUUUUCAUGGAAUUUAAUUCAUGAUACAGUUAAACUGGGUCAACUUACGGCAUAAGUCUAUAUAUGAGCUUCUUUUCUGUUGUUUGCGUUACCGAUGUUUCAUGACCCAUUAAACAUGUUUAACAUGGUAUCAAACAAGGAUCCUACUUAGAUAUUUAAAUCUGGCGUAUGAUAAGGUAAUAAAGCCACAUAUGAACAGUGGUCAUGUUUAUUUCUCAAAAAUCUCUAAAAAUCAUUUACUGUAUUUAUACAUGCUUUUUUUUUUUUU
Long non-coding RNA from Oreochromis aureus, 2136 nucleotides. RefSeq lists it as uncharacterized. The record is from RefSeq and is a predicted model, not a curated record. NCBI's taxonomy places the organism in Eukaryota, Metazoa, Chordata, Actinopteri, Cichliformes, Cichlidae. The transcript has 3 exons.